GGCGCGCGUAUCACUCCCUCAGGCCCGGUCUUUCUCACUCACACUUCGAAUCCCACGCUUCAGAGCUCAUUACCCAACUGUACGGAGUUGCAGCUUGUCUGAACUGUACCGAGAAACCAAACGCAAGAAUACCCUCCUUUUCCAGGGAGGAGCGACUACAAGUCUUCGGAUACGACGCCGUUUAAUUAAUGCAACACCGCGACUACCAAUUCUCCAGCCACCGUCCCAGGCGGCGCCCCCGUCCCCCGCAGCCGAUCGUGCUGCAACCCGGCCAGGUGGCAUUCCGAGUCAUCUGCCAUGUUUCCAUCAUCGGCGGCCUAAUCGGUCCUUCCGGCUCCAUCAUCUCUCAAAUUCGACGCGACACCGACUGUACCAUCCGCUGCGAAGAGCUAGUGCAAGGCUCGGACCACCGGGUUAUCGUGGUAAUCGGGCCGGCAUCCCCCGGGAGGAGAAUCGCGUUAAAGUCAAUGGAGGGUGAUGAUGAGGAUGAAAAGGAGCUCGUGUCGGUAGCGCAGGAGGCGGUGAUUAGGGUUUGUGAGAGGAUGUGGGAGGUUGGCGCUCAUAGCGGACGGGUUGAUGAUAGUGAGAGGGGCGUGAGUGAGGGCUAUUGUGGACUUCUGGCCGAUACGACGCAGAUUGGUGCCGUAGUAGGGAGAGGAGGGAAGAAUGUCGUGAGAAUGAGGAGAGAGAGCGGGGCCCAGAUUAGGAUCCUGCCGGCCCCACAAUGCGCUGCGAAGGACGAUGAAUUGAUUCAGAUUACAGGUGAUAUUUUGGCUGUAAAGAAAGCACUGGUCGCUGUAACUGAAUGUCUUCACGAUUGUCCGCCGUAUAACAAAGAACCAAUGCUUUUGAACAGACCUGUUGAGAGAGCUUCCCACAUUUCCUCUUCUGAUCUGCAUGCAGAGUUCUUCCCACAUCUUAGUUCAUUGUUACCACCUUUGAUUGAAAAUUCUGCAAAUUCCCAUUCAUUAUCCUCAGAUGCUGAUGAAGACCCCAACCAGGAUGUGAAAUCUACAAGACAAGAAGUUUCAUUUAGGCUGCUUUGCUCCAAUGGUGCAGCUGGGAGCAUAAUUGGCAAGAAAGGAACCAUAGUAAGAACUCUACAGAAUGAAACAGGUGCUUCUAUCAUGUUUGCAGCUCCAAUAACUCUGUCUGGUGCACGUGUAGUCACCAUUUCUGCAUUUGAGAACCUUGAAUCAUCGUACUCUCCUGCACAAAAAGCUGUUAUUCUUGUCUUUGCUAGAUCUAUUGAGCAUGACAUUGAAAAGGGGCAUUCAUCAGGCUUGAUUAAGGGUAGUACUGUAACUGCAAGGCUCCUAGUGGCAUCGGAUGUUGUUUGUUGCCUGAUUGGGAAUGGUGGUGGGAUAGAUUCUGAAAUGACAGAAUUAGCUGAUAUACGGAUCUUAGAAGGGAAACAUGUCAUGGAUUGUACUUCAGAAAAUGAUGUAGUAAUAGAGAUCACUGGUGAGUAUAAAAAUGUACAGAAUGCUCUGUUUCUAGUUACUAGGAAACUGAGGGAUAAUCUUUCUCGUACUGAGCUGCUCAAUGAAGUGAGAACAAGGAGUCCCCAUGGAAGAGUAAUGGAGAUUGCUUCUCCUAGAUUGCAGCAACCAAGCCUAUCUCUUAAUUCUGAUCGAGAAUGUAGUUUGAAAGGAGGAAUGGAUCAGCUUGGACUCUCCAACAACUUGGGCAAUGCCUCUUCGUCGGGACAGCGGUCACCACAGGUAGCAGGAUUUCUUCCUUAUUUUGCAGUUUUUAUGUUUAGUUCCGACUGAGGGCCUUCUUGUUUUGUGUGAUUGCAGAAAUUUGGAAAAAGGCAUGCAACAACUGUUAAAAAUAAUGGAAACAGCUCAACUUUGUCUGGUGGGUCUUCAGAACUUGAAAGGUCACUUCACUUGUUUCUGCCCAAAGAGGUGCUUAAAGAGGUAGGUGCAAGGAGUCCUGGUGGAGUGAGAGAGACUACUUGUCAUGAAUCACAUUCACCAUCAGACCUAGCUUCUGAUCUCAUUCAAGAAACUAUUUUAACAAAAGAAAAAAAUCAACCUGGACUCUCCAACAUUGGCAGUCGUUCAUCUGCAUUGCAUAUGCAACAGACUGCAGGAAGGGGCUCAACAACUUUUGGAGGGAGUGUAGAACUUGACAGGUCAGCACCGCACAACACAACACAAAUUAUUCAACCUUGAUUUUCCUUUUAUCGUUUCUUUCUAUAUUCCCUGUCUUAUCCUUUGCUGCAUGGUGGAACUAUUCAUGAUCACACUCUACUUUUGGAUUUAUUGUUGAACAUUUAUUGACAAUUAUUAUGUAGUCAAAGGAUACUUUGUUUACAGUGUCUUGGAUAUGUUUUGAAAAUGGCCAUAAUAUUAGGGUGGAGGAACUAAAUAUAGAAUUUAAGUUAACUAUUUUCAAUAUAUUUAUUAAAUACAUCUCCGUUUUCUUAUAAUGGCAAUGGAAGUGAACAAAAUGUAUGAAUUUCAAAUUUAAUAACAUAUUUAAGUGGUUGGUAUAAAAGAGAUUAAUAAAAUUAUCCACUGUAUUAGUAGUAUACAAUUUUGUUUGCAUUCAUAGUAACAAAUGCAUAAUUAAGUAAAAACAUUUGGCAUAAACAUACUGUAUGUAUUUUUGUAUGACCCUUGUGGAAGUGUAGCUUGGUUAUUGUUGAUAAAUAACUAUUAUUAUUAAUAAUUUUGGUAAGAUCAGCACUGGUGAGCUUGAAAAUGUUAAUGCCAAAGUUUUUAGGCUGUUCAUAAUAUUUUAUUACUUUUUACAUUUUACUUUAGAAUUUUAUUCUUGUUUUGGUAAAUUUACUGUUGUCAUGUCAAUAUAUUUAUAAUAGUUUAGCGCUAGUAACAGGUCGCUUUUUCUUAAUUUUUAAUUGAAAUUACUAGUAUCUUUUUAAAAAUUUACAAGUACUCUGUGUUAGUUUUAAAUAACAGAUUUUCUUUUGGUUGCAUUUCUUGCAUUUACGUACUCAUUCUGCACAGCAUAGAUGAGAUAACUAGUAUUUAAUGACAAAUUUAUUAGAUUGGAAGAUAUAAAGUUAACAGCUAAUAUAAUGGAACAAAACAAAAUUAUUUAUUAUUAAAAAGUUGCUGAAAGUUACAAAUAAAUUCUUUUUAUAUAUAAAUUUGGCUGAAUUCUAGAAACAAAGACCUUAAUGUGUCUGCUUUUAUUGUUUGUGGAUAGGCAUCAGUGAUCAGACAGGUUACUUCACAUGUCAUCCUUGUGUGAUGAUCUGUGGUAAAGUUUUAUUUUUUUGCUCCAAUUGAAUUACCUAUAUAGCCAAUGAUAAUGAGUCUUGUCUGUAAUGGUCUAAGUGAUCAUAUUGUAGUAGGAUGAGUCUUGACAAAGGCUUUAAAAAAUCAUUGCUCUUUCAAUCAGGGAGCCAAGGAAUUCACUUACCAAGAACCUUUGCUUUGUUAAUAACAUUGCUUGUUCUGGUAUUGGCACUAAAUGGCAUUUGGUAAUGGUUCUUAACACAUGUUCGUAAGGCAUCACUAUAUUGUCCUAGAUCCGGCAGCUUGUCAUUGCCUGCUACAUCUUGAAAAAGAAAAUAAAAUGUUGCUUACCCCAUCUUUUUUCAUCAUCUAAUGUCUAUAGAUGUAAAAUUUCUUAGAAUGGAUUUCGCAUGCAUGUAACCACUCUUCGUGCUUACAGUAGUUUGCGCCGUCGAAAAAGAUCUGCUAUAGUGGCAAAUACAACCUUGGAGCUGAUAGUCUCUGAAGAUAUUCUUGGUUCUAUUUAUGGUGAUGAUGGCAACAAUCUGGCUAGAUUAAGA
Molecule: unclassified non-coding RNA, 3775 nt
Filed under: Hevea brasiliensis (rubber tree)
Lineage: Eukaryota; Viridiplantae; Streptophyta; Magnoliopsida; Malpighiales; Euphorbiaceae
Source: RNAcentral